UCAUGAUAUAAACUCUCAUUCCUCUCUAACACCGAUAAUCAUCCUCCCCUUUCAGGAUCAUGGCGAGAACCAAAGGAGCUGCAAACAAAGCUACUAUAAACUUUCAAUCCAAUCCAUCAUAUCCAUCCUUUAAACCUCAACCUCUCACUAUUGUUCCUCACCUCAAACCAUUACCACUCAUCAACCUCAAAACAAUGGCCCACCAACAUCCUCAACUCCUUCUCACAUUAAAAAGCCAAAAAGAAAAAGCCCACCAACAUGCUUUUGAGAUAAUUUGUAUGGAAGAUUCUACUUCUUUUUUAUUGAUGAUUAAUCCCUUUUUUGUUUUGAGUAUGUUUGAAUCAUUGUUAAUUAUUAUGAAUGAACAUUACAAUGGUUCAUAAAUGAUUAUGUUUCAAAAUCAUAUUUGUCAAAAUGGAUGCAUAAACUAAGUGGGAGUAUUUCCUGAAAUCCUCAAUUAUAUUCAUUAAUUAUUUUACAUUAAAUCUGAAUGAAUAUUGGAUCUUAAUUUAAAAAUAAUUUAUCAUAAAAAAACUAUAGAUUGUGAGGCAAAAUCCCUUAGUAAAUAUGUUUCAAUGAUAAUAAAAUUUAAUUAGAUAAAUAUCUAAUUAAUUCUGAUUUUAUUAAGUGAUCUAAUAUAUGUUCUUGAGUGUAUUACUCAUAAGAUAAAUUUUUGUGAAGCUUUAAAAAGUUUUUGAAACAUACUAAUAUGUGAGCACAUUCAUCAUCCUUAAAACUAGAAGUGUUCAUCAUUAAUUUCGUUAAUUGAAGAACCAGAGAUAUUCAUUGAUGAUAACCAAGACAUAAAUGACAAUUGGAAUAUUGCUUUUAUUUAUCAAACAUAAAUGAUGUGGGCCAUAUACAAAAGAACAUUAUCAUAAGACACAAAGAACGAAACGAAUAUUUUGAAAGGGACAAUUAAUAUUGUUCACGUGUGCAAAGAUAUAUCCACACUUUAUUAAAAUUUAAAUAUGUUUUCAGAUAUACUCAUUCAUAUUCAUCAGAGUUGAGGACAUGAGGAUGUUGAGAAGACAACCUUCUACACUAUACGUACAAAGGACAACUCAUUACAAGCUCACACAUCCUAUUUAGCAGCUCAUGACAGGUUGUCUCAAGAUGUCAAAAAGAUAAUCAAUCUCCUCUAUCAUGUUCAUAAUAAACGUGGAUGUCUUUAUAAUGACGAGGACAUCUUCAUAUAAAGUACAUGGUGAUCAUAAACAUCCUUAAAGAAUAGGAUGAUUACUAAAAGAGAAGAUAAUGUUUACCCAUAUUUCAGAGUUUCAGCACCAUACUCUAACACCUUGGGACAUGUGCCCAACGGUUAUAUGUGACAUUUACAUCAACAAAAAAUUUUCCCAAUUCUAUAAAUAGAAGCUGCUUCAAGCUGCAAUCUCCAAUAGAAUACAAUCGAACAUAUUUUACUUUCUUGUUUGCAAAGCUAUCAAAACCAUCUUUAAUUAUCAAGAAACAUACAAUUUCUCUUUGUCAU
This 1489-nucleotide long non-coding RNA is filed under the name Cicer arietinum (chickpea). RNAcentral describes it as "long non-coding RNA (CARI_LNC001469)". The record is from RNAcentral. Lineage: Eukaryota; Viridiplantae; Streptophyta; Magnoliopsida; Fabales; Fabaceae.